This 153-nucleotide small nuclear RNA is filed under the name Oncorhynchus mykiss (rainbow trout). Its description in RNAcentral is "U1 spliceosomal RNA (ENSOMYG00000056608.1)". It matches the Rfam family "U1 spliceosomal RNA". From Rfam's summary of the family: U1 is a small nuclear RNA (snRNA) component of the spliceosome (involved in pre-mRNA splicing). The record is from RNAcentral. Lineage: Eukaryota; Metazoa; Chordata; Actinopteri; Salmoniformes; Salmonidae.
AUACUUACCUGGCAAGGGAGACACCGUGAUCACGAAGGCGGUUCACCCAGGGCGAGGCUCAGCCAUUGCACUCCGGCUGUGCUGACCCCUGCGAAUUUUUCUCUCGAUUGCAUAAUUUCUGGUAGUGGGGGACUGCGUUCGCGCUCUCCCCUG